CGCGAUAAUGGCAAACCUAUCGAAAGAUAGGGACGCAAAGCUAUAGGGCCUUCCUGUUGAUGGCAGCCAGCUACCGAAU
RNAcentral lists this non-coding RNA (79 nucleotides) under Paenibacillus sp. Its description in RNAcentral is "c-di-GMP sequence". It matches the Rfam family "c-di-GMP-I-GGC riboswitch aptamer". RNAcentral also lists the same sequence under 1 other name. The record is from RNAcentral. Lineage: Bacteria; Bacillati; Bacillota; Bacilli; Caryophanales; Paenibacillaceae.